CCAAUUGAUUGAUGGUGCUUGCACCUGAUUGAUUUUGGUUGCCAACGAGUGGCGGACGGGUGAGUAACACGUAGGUAACCUGCCCAGAAGCGGGGGACGACAUUUGGAAACAGAUGCUAAUACCGCAUAACAGCGUUGUUCGCAUGAACAACGCUUAAAAGAUGGCUUCUCGCUAUCACUUCUGGAUGGACCUGCGGUGCAUUAGCUUGUUGGUGGGGUAACGGCCUACCAAGGCGAUGAUGCAUAGCCGAGUUGAGAGACUGAUCGGCCACAAUGGGACUGAGACACGGCCCAUACUCCUACGGGAGGCAGCAGUAGGGAAUCUUCCACAAUGGGCGCAAGCCUGAUGGAGCAACACCGCGUGAGUGAAGAAGGGUUUCGGCUCGUAAAGCUCUGUUGUUAAAGAAGAACACGUAUGAGAGUAACUGUUCAUACGUUGACGGUAUUUAACCAGAAAGUCACGGCUAACUACGUGCCAGCAGCCGCGGUAAUACGUAGGUGGCAAGCGUUAUCCGGAUUUAUUGGGCGUAAAGAGAGUGCAGGCGGUUUUCUAAGUCUGAUGUGAAAGCCUUCGGCUUAACCGGAGAAGUGCAUCGGAAACUGGAUAACUUGAGUGCAGAAGAGGGUAGUGGAACUCCAUGUGUAGCGGUGGAAUGCGUAGAUAUAUGGAAGAACACCAGUGGCGAAGGCGGCUACCUGGUCUGCA
Molecule: ribosomal RNA, 706 nt
Filed under: uncultured bacterium
Lineage: Bacteria
Description: bacterial SSU rRNA
Rfam family: Bacterial small subunit ribosomal RNA
Source: RNAcentral